GUCACUCCCGUGCGACUGCGACGACUGCAGCUCAAUAUUAUAUUAUUUGUGCUUGAUAGAUUCGCGGCUUGUGUCUGUUUUGAGGAUUUUCUGCAUCUCUAGGACACGAUGUUUGUCCGAGUUGGUCAUUAUCAUCGUCCGUUAACACAUGUAUCGAGUCAGAUGAGUUUAGUUAACAGAGUCUUUAGUUUAGCAAUUAUUUAAAACUUCUUUGUUUGUAGGUUAUUGGCUGAAUAUAUAAAACUAACAAGGCUGUGUUGUUGUGGAUGUUUGAUGCAUGUUUAUUUUAAGGGAGUGUUUAUGAUAGUUGGGAGAGAAUGAAAAUGAAAGAAUGGAAGUUUAAAGGAAAAGAUGAAUAAAUAAAUCAUGAUUGCAUUACAGUUCAGUAAAUGUCUAAAUGCAAAUAAACCGCGAAUCACCAAAAAAUAAAAGUUCUGAAAGAUAGAUGGUGACAAACAUCAUGUUGUAACAGACUGAACGCGGAAACAAAGACGAGAAACACGUGUCAGUGAAUCACACGAUCAUUAAAGGUAGUUUUUCCUCACUAUAGUAAAUAAAUCCACAGCAGCGUAUUUGAAAAGCUCCAGAAAGUUGCAGUGGUUUCUCUACUGAAGGACGUCUGGACAGAUGGAGAGUUCACUGACUGGCCCGUAUCUCUUCCCGAACAAUCAACCAAUCAGCAACACUUCUGUUUAUGUCUGCUGAAUGAAUAAAACAUGUCAGGAUUUCAGUUUACUGGAUUUAUAUUAAUGUCAUGGUAAUAUAACACACAGCACAGUCAUAUAAAUAUACUUUAUAUUCUUUAAGAAAUAAGAAAAGGUUUGUUAGAUUUACUCUGAUAAAUGAAUAUGGAAAUAUAUAAUCAAGCUGUGUGAAAUCGUGUGUUAUUGGCAGGUCUUUACUCACACAGAGUUUACAUACACUCUUCAUAACCAGGGUUUUACAAUCAUUUUCACACAUUUGUCCACCCAAUCUCUACAUUCAGUUGUCUUUUGUUGUCUUAAAUAUAUAAAUGUAAAAAAAUCUGGUAUGUAUGAUUUACAAGCUGCUUUUCUGGUAUUGAUAGUAAUAACACACACUCUCACACACACACACUCACGUAGAGGAAAGUAUUGGGUCACUCUGUGUCUACAAGUGUUGAACAUCCUAAAUAUUUUCAGAAAAUAAAGCUUAAGUACCAAGGAGACAAGAUACAGUAGCAUGUGUCUGUUACAUUAAAUGCGGAGUUUAGUUACAAAAAACCUAAAAAAAAAAUACAUAAAAUAAUUUCACUCAGUACUUCCAGAGAGGAAAGAAGUGUUUAUAAGUGUUGAACAUCUCUCUGGCUCACUGUCUUUCCUUGAUACAUCUUUUUAUAACACAAGAACAAUUUGUGUAUAAUCACAAUAUAAAUGCCACAGCCAUCAACAACAAGAACACAUGAACCAACAUUUUAAACAUCCAAACCUGUAUGACUGACUUUCUUCUGCUGAACACAACAUAUUAUAUUUUGAAGCAUGCUGGUAACCAAACACUUCCAUAGUAUAGAAAUAAAAAUACACUGGAAGCCGACGGGAACCCUAAACUAUUUGGUUACCAACAUGCUUCAAAAUAUCUUCUUUUGUGUUCUGCAGAAGAAGGUCAUACAGGUUUGGAAUGGCAUGAGGGUGAGUAAAUGAUUAUUAUAUUAUUUUUGGGUGAACUAUCCUUUUAAUCUGACAAAAUCAUCUCAACGUAAAUUCCUGAACUUGGCAUGUGACUGACUGCCUGUGUCUGGUAGAUGCUCUGACCUGCUGCUGGUCCUGAAGUCUGACCACACUGACUCUGACUAGCCUCAGCUAGGGAGCUGCUCUGGGGUCUGUUUGUACCUGAUCUGCCUGUUUGUGCUUCUUUAAAAAGAUAUCUCUCCCUUUCUUUUCAUGUUUAAUUGAUCCUGUGCAAAAAUAUGACAGCCUAUGAUUACAUCUAAUCAUCCAAUUACCAACAUUU
Xyrauchen texanus (razorback sucker) is the source of this 1968-nucleotide long non-coding RNA. RefSeq lists it as uncharacterized. NCBI's taxonomy places the organism in Eukaryota, Metazoa, Chordata, Actinopteri, Cypriniformes, Catostomidae. The transcript has 3 exons. The record is from RefSeq and is a predicted model, not a curated record.